This is an unclassified non-coding RNA of Macaca fascicularis (crab-eating macaque), 148 nucleotides long. It matches the Rfam family "Metazoan signal recognition particle RNA". Rfam says of the family: The signal recognition particle (SRP) is a universally conserved ribonucleoprotein. It is involved in the co-translational targeting of proteins to membranes. The eukaryotic SRP consists of a 300-nucleotide 7S RNA and six proteins: SRPs 72, 68, 54, 19, 14, and 9. The record is from Ensembl. Lineage: Eukaryota; Metazoa; Chordata; Mammalia; Primates; Cercopithecidae.
GCCGGGCGUGGUGGCAUGUGCCUGUAAUCCCAGCUACUCAGGAGGCUGAGGCAGGAGAAUCGCUUUAACCCAGGAAGUGGAGGUUGCAGUGAGCCAAGAUUGCACCACUGCACUCCAGCCUGGGUGACAGAGCGAGACCCUGUCUCAA